This 86-nucleotide transfer RNA is filed under the name Porphyromonadaceae bacterium. Its description in RNAcentral is "tRNA-Tyr". It matches the Rfam family "tRNA". From Rfam's summary of the family: Transfer RNA (tRNA) molecules are approximately 80 nucleotides in length. Their secondary structure includes four short double-helical elements and three loops (D, anti-codon, and T loops). Lineage: Bacteria; Pseudomonadati; Bacteroidota; Bacteroidia; Bacteroidales; Porphyromonadaceae. The record is from RNAcentral.
GGGUAGAUUCCAGAGUGGCCAAAUGGGGCAGACUGUAAAUCUGCUGCGUCAUCGCUUCGGUGGUUCGAAUCCAUCUCUACCCACAA